This 494-nucleotide ribosomal RNA is filed under the name uncultured bacterium. RNAcentral describes it as "bacterial SSU rRNA". It matches the Rfam family "Bacterial small subunit ribosomal RNA", at positions 28 to 521 of the family's 1533-position model. The record is from RNAcentral.
GACGAACGCUGGCGGCGUGCCUAACACAUGCAAGUCAGGGAGAAAAGGGUAGCAAUAUCCUGAGUAAACCGGCGAACGGGUGAGUAACACGUAGGCAACUUACCUUGAGAACGGGAAUAACCCCGGGAAACCGGGGCUAAUACCCGAUGUUAUUCCGUUGUAGCAUUGCAAUGGAAUAAAAAGCCCGCAAGGGCGUCACAAGAUAGGCCUGCGUCCCAUUAGAUAGUUGGCGGGGUAACAGCCCACCAAGUCGACGAUGGGUAGCUGGUCUGAGAGGACGAUCAGCCACACUGGAACUGAGACACGGUCCAGACUUCUACGGAAGGCAGCAGUGAGGAAUAUUGCUCAAUGGGCGAAAGCCUGAAGCAGCGACGCCGCGUGAAGGAUGAAAUCCGUUAGGAUGUAAACUUCUUUGCGGGGAAGAAUGUGCGCCUUGGGCGCAUUGACGGUACCCGUGAAUAAGCACCGGCCAACUACGUGCCAGCCGCCGCGUA